ACCUAGCUGACGAGUCCCAAAUAGGACAAAACGCGUGUCCUAGAU
Molecule: non-coding RNA, 45 nt
Organism: Schistosoma mansoni
Lineage: Eukaryota; Metazoa; Platyhelminthes; Trematoda; Strigeidida; Schistosomatidae
Source: Rfam